Molecule: ribosomal RNA, 289 nt
Filed under: Vibrio sp.
Lineage: Bacteria; Pseudomonadati; Pseudomonadota; Gammaproteobacteria; Vibrionales; Vibrionaceae
Description: partial 16S ribosomal RNA
Rfam family: Bacterial small subunit ribosomal RNA
Source: RNAcentral
AGACAGGUGCUGCAUGGCUGUCGUCAGCUCGUGUUGUGAAAUGUUGGGUUAAGUCCCGCAACGAGCGCAACCCUUAUCCUUGUUUGCCAGCACGUAAUGGUGGGAACUCCAGGGAGACUGCCGGUGAUAAACCGGAGGAAGGUGGGGACGACGUCAAGUCAUCAUGGCCCUUACGAGUAGGGCUACACACGUGCUACAAUGGCGCAUACAGAGGGCAGCAAGCUAGCGAUAGUGAGCGAAUCCCAAAAAGUGCGUCGUAGUCCGGAUUGGAGUCUGCAACUCGACUCCA